Alosa sapidissima (American shad) is the source of this 1446-nucleotide long non-coding RNA. RefSeq lists it as uncharacterized. The record is from RefSeq and is a predicted model, not a curated record. The transcript is spliced from 2 exons. Lineage: Eukaryota; Metazoa; Chordata; Actinopteri; Clupeiformes; Clupeidae.
AUAGGUUAGGGUCACAUGGUAGGGCAAGCACUGACUCACAGGCGGGGCUUCAGUGAUGUCACUACCUGUGGGAAAUUGGUAAAUUACACCCGUCCUCUCAAUCAGGAGACACAGACACAAUUGGGUUUUGAGGCCUGCUGGAGAAGCAUGGCCAAAGUUCUCCCCUUCCGUUUGUAGCCACAUGAACUGUGGCAUUAGGACAACCUUUUGCGUUGGAUUACUUUUGGAUUUUACAGCACUUUAAAGAUAAAGAAAAAACUUGAACUUAAAAGCCAAAACAGCUUGGGCUGGUCCAGCUACACAGAGGAGUACCGGGCAGGGAGUGCCAGUACGCCACAGAGUUUUCCUGCGGCCCGCUCCCCAUCCAGCGUUUGGCGCGGGGAGCCGUCUGAUGUUUGCCGCUGGCCUGGAGGUUUUAAUUAGGGCCUAAUGAAACCAGACGGAGGAGACCACAGAGUCUAAUGAAGCGUCAAGGAUCCAACAAAAGCAGGAGACGGGGAAUGUCCUAAUGCUACCUGACAGCACCAUCUCACACACACAAACACACACUUCACACAUGCGUGUACUCAAACCUGGCCAUACCUACAUGAACAAUCAUUUACGCCUGGGUGACCAAUCACACAUGAGGAAGGUGGCGUGUUCACGUCCAUCCUCACCCUCACACAAAAAGGAACUCAAAGGCAAAUUAGGAAUCAGUCAGGUUUAUGAACUUGUGCUGAAUGGUAAGAUUCUGGAAGGUUGAAUUCUACUAAAAGUAUAUUUUGGACAGAGCAACAUUAAGUCCUUCCUUGUCUAAACUCCUACUGGCAAACAAGAAAAACAUCAAGCAGAGGCUUUAUACCAUACUCUUAUGUAUGUGCCAUUGGUCUAGAAGCUUAGAUAUUCAAUUCCUUGCAUAGCCAUCAGUGUGUGUGAGUGUGUGUGGGUGAAUGUGAGGCAUGACAUGGAAAAGCGCUUUGGGUGCUCGGAGUAGUUGAUUAAAGCGCUAUAUAAAUGCAGUCCAUUUACCAUACUGCCAUAUGACAAUAAGUGUGCUCAUAGGUAGUAAACUAUUGUGGUGAACUUGCCUGGAAGGAGUCGGAAGGCGAAUCUCAGCUUCACAUCAUGUAAUCAAACUGAGAAUGGUAGCCUACUACAGACCAGUUUUUUCAUUAAAGUUGUACAUUUAAUCUAAAACUGUUUUUAAUUAAGAAGUUGUGUCGUUAAUGCAUUUAAAAACACCACUCUAGCCUAGUUCAUGUGCCUGAAUAAAAAAAUUCCAUGGGUGGCACAUCGAGAACCACUGACGUAGGGCAAGACUACAUAAAGUUCAGUCCAGGGCCAGGCCAUCAUUUCUGUUAUGUUUGGUUGGCCUUUAGCUUUUUUACAGAGGCCUGUAGAAAUCCACGUCCACAUUAAGCAAUGCAUGGAGUAUUUAGCAUCUAAGCUCACAAAUUCAAAAAGAAA